RNAcentral lists this ribosomal RNA (228 nucleotides) under uncultured bacterium. Its description in RNAcentral is "partial 16S ribosomal RNA". It matches the Rfam family "Bacterial small subunit ribosomal RNA", at positions 15 to 235 of the family's 1533-position model. The record is from RNAcentral.
GAUCUGGCUCAGGAUGAACGCUAGCUACAGGCUUAACACAUGCAAGUCGAGGGGCAGCAUGGUCUUAGCUUGCUAAGGCCGAUGGCGACCGGCGCACGGGUGAGUAACGCGUAUCCAACCUGCCUUACACUCUUGGACAGCCUUCUGAGAGGGAGAUUAAUACAAGAUGUUAUCAUGAGUAAGCAUUUUCACAUGAUUAAAGGUUUACCGGUGUAAGAUGGGGAUGCG